AGAGUUUGAUCAUGGCUCAGGAUGAACGCUAGCGGCAGGCCUAAUACAUGCAAGUCGAACGGACCGCAAGGUCAGUGGCAAACGGGUGCGUAACGCGUAAUCAACCUACCCUCCACUGGGGUCUAGCCCGGCGAAAGCUGGGGUAAUCCCGCAUACGUCCCUUCCGUGGCUUCACGGGGGGGGGAAAGGUUUACUGGUGGAGGAGGGGAUUGCGUCUGAUUAGGUAGUUGGUGGGGUAACGGCUCACCAAGCCGAUGAUCAGUAGGGGCUCUGAAAGGAGGGUCCCCCACAUGGACACUGCGACACGGGUCCAACUCCUACGGGAGGCAGCAGUGGGGAAUAUUGGGCAAUGGAGGAAACUCUGACCCAGCGACGCCGCGUGCGGGAUGAAGGCCUUCGGGUUGUAAACCGCUUU
Molecule: ribosomal RNA, 415 nt
Filed under: uncultured bacterium GKS2-208
Lineage: Bacteria; Pseudomonadati; Bacteroidota
Description: bacterial SSU rRNA
Rfam family: Bacterial small subunit ribosomal RNA
Source: RNAcentral